GGAAAGGUUGAUUGCGCAAAAUCCAAUUGUAGAGAUGUUGUUGUUUCUUCAAAGAUUAGGGUCUGUUGUUCGCAUUAAGAUAAUAAGAUAAGAUAUGUUGUUUUUCUCGAUCACCAGCACAUUUUGGUUAUGUAGUGUGGCCAGUGUGGGUACUAAUUUGCAAUUGUGGGUAUCAAGGCAUGUGAUAGGAAUAGUGCAGGUAGAGAUACUAAUUUAUUGUGUCAGCUUCCUUGAUCAACACUCUGCUGGGAUCAGUUCAACGCUUUAUAAAGAGGAUACUCUUACACCAGCAGUUGUCAUAACUAAAAGACUCUAUAGCUAAGUUCAAGGAUGUUUACAUGGAACAGUUUGAUAAGGACGGUGAUGGUCUUAUUGAGAGUGAUGGCAAACUUGCGAUGUUGGGACAGUUCAUGACAUUAGUGCUUAUUGUGGAUGCUUAUGGCUUGCUGCUCUCGAAGUUGCUGCUUCAAUGGGGAAAGGGAGAAGAAAUUGUAAACCUUCAUGAAGUAACUGAGGACCCCAGGCCAGUGCUACUUCUAUAUUUUCCUUGGACGACUUUGAAGCGCUGGGAAGUUCCCGUGCAUCAUCAACAAGUCCUCCAGUACUUGGUGAAAGGACGUGAUUCUCAGAAAUAACACACUUAGGUUUUGCUUCUGGGAUUGGUUCUCCUACAGGCUGCUGGUACUUUAAAUAACAUAGAAGCGAGAAAUGAUAUUGUUGUUCCAACUGGGUAGAGGAGCAGCCUUACUUUGCCAGUAUCAUAUCCACGACCAAACCUGCCACUGGGGGUGUGGAAGCUGACAAGGCAAAUGUGGUGGGAAAGAAAGGGAAGAACCCAAGUCGAGUCCUUUUGUCAAAUGAAGGUGGUCUUGCUAUUAAAUAUUUUGCUGAAGGUCUCACCAUGUCCGUCAUUUUAGUGUCUUUGUUUUACUAAGAGCUUACAUUUUUGCUUGAAAGAUUGUAUAUAAAUUUGAAAGUAAAUGCGUAAAUCAUCAUGUACGGAAGAAAAUUGAGUAGACUAAUGUAUUAUGAAAAUAAUUUGAGCACAAAA
This is an RNA transcript of Papaver somniferum (opium poppy), 1051 nucleotides long. RefSeq lists it as uncharacterized. NCBI's taxonomy places the organism in Eukaryota, Viridiplantae, Streptophyta, Magnoliopsida, Ranunculales, Papaveraceae. The record is from RefSeq and is a predicted model, not a curated record. The transcript has 4 exons.